This 83-nucleotide transfer RNA is filed under the name Armatimonadetes bacterium Uphvl-Ar2. It matches the Rfam family "tRNA". From Rfam's summary of the family: Transfer RNA (tRNA) molecules are approximately 80 nucleotides in length. Their secondary structure includes four short double-helical elements and three loops (D, anti-codon, and T loops). RNAcentral also lists the same sequence under 2 other names. The record is from Rfam by way of RNAcentral. Lineage: Bacteria; Bacillati; Armatimonadota.
GCCCGGGUGGCGAAAUGGUAGACGCAGGGGACUUAAAAUCCCUUGGUAGCAAUACCGUGUGGGUUCGAGUCCCACCCCGGGCA